This 381-nucleotide ribosomal RNA is filed under the name uncultured bacterium. RNAcentral's name for it is "bacterial SSU rRNA". It matches the Rfam family "Archaeal small subunit ribosomal RNA", at positions 342 to 723 of the family's 1478-position model. The record is from RNAcentral.
CGAAAACUUUACAAUGCUGGCAACAGCGAUAAGGGAACCUCGAGUGCCAGGUUACAAAUCUGGCUGUCGAGAUGCCUAAAAAGCAUUUCAUAGCAAGGGCCGGGCAAGACCGGUGCCAGCCGCCGCGGUAACACCGGCGGCUCGAGUGGUAACCGUUAUUAUUGGGUCUAAAGGGUCUGUAGCCGGCCGGAUAAGUCUCUUGAGAAAUCUGGCAGCUUAACUGUCAGGCUUUCAGGAGAUACUGUCUGGCUCGAGGCCGGGAGAGGUGAGAGGUACUUCAGUGGUAGGGGUGAAAUCUUGUAAUCCUUGAAGGACCACCAGUGGCGAAGGCGUCUCACCAGAACGGACCUGACGGCAAGGGACGAAAGCUAGGGGCACGAA